This 838-nucleotide ribosomal RNA is filed under the name uncultured bacterium. Its description in RNAcentral is "bacterial SSU rRNA". It matches the Rfam family "Bacterial small subunit ribosomal RNA", at positions 8 to 860 of the family's 1533-position model. The record is from RNAcentral.
AGAGUUUGAUCCUGGCUCAGGAUGAACGCUGGCGGCGUGCCUAACACAUGCAAGUCGAACAAGGUAACCACGUCGGGGUACACGAGCGGCGAACGGGUGAGUAACACGUGGGUGAUCUGCCCUGCACUUCGGGAUAAGCCUGGGAAACUGGGUCUAAUACCGGAUAUGACCUCAGGUUGCAUGACUUGGGGUGGAAAGAUUUAUCGGUGCAGGAUGGGCCCGCGGCCUAUCAGCUUGUUGGUGGGGUAAUGGCCUACCAAGGCGACGACGGGUAGCCGACCUGAGAGGGUGACCGGCCACACUGGGACUGAGACACGGACCAGACUCCUACGGGAGGCAGCAGUGGGGAAUAUUGCACAAUGGGCGAAAGCCUGAUGCAGCGACGCCGCGUGAGGGAUGACGGCCUUCGGGUUGUAAACCUCUUUCAGCAGGGACGAAGCGCAAGUGACGGUACCUGCAGAAGAAGCACCGGCUAACUACGUGCCAGCAGCCGCGGUAAUACGUAGGGUGCAAGCGUUGUCCGGAAUUACUGGGCGUAAAGAGUUCGUAGGCGGUUUGUCGCGUCGUUUGUGAAAACCAGCAGCUCAACUGCUGGCUUGCAGGCGAUACGGGCAGACUUGAGUACUGCAGGGGAGACUGGAAUUCCUGGUGUAGCGGUGAAAUGCGCAGAUAUCAGGAGGAACACCGGUGGCGAAGGCGGGUCUCUGGGCAGUAACUGACGCUGAGGAACGAAAGCGUGGGUAGCGAACAGGAUUAGAUACCCUGGUAGUCCACGCCGUAAACGGUGGGCGCUAGGUGUGGGUUCCUUCCACGGAAUCCGUGGCCGUAGCUAACGCAU